UCAGAAUCCACUCAACAUUAAAGAGCGCGGAAAUUUAAAUCUGCAGUUGUUAUAACAACAGCGCACGCUUAUAUAAACAGAACGUUAUUGUCCGUUGAUGCGGUGUCAUUAAUCAUUCGUGGUGUGAACUUGCCUUAAGACAGAGAGCCACCACGCACCGGAAAACACCUUCCUGAGAUGAUUCAGCUUAGUUUACGAAAGCGUGUUGUCAUUAAGGAACCGUGGAUAUAUGUUCUUCUCAAUACAGAGGGCAGGAAAGGGUUAACCGCGGUUGCGUGCAGACAGAGCGUCCCGCCCUGCGUGAUUACACCGCGUAGCCUCCAGGUGUUCUCCAGACAGAUAAUGAGGAAGUUCUCGGAUCUCCAAAAUACAGCCGAUCGGGAGCUGGAUACGUACCAGCGGGAGGCUUUGUAGGUGUGGGACACCUGAAGAACUGUGCAGGAGUGGAAAUCCCUGGCAAUGUGAUUUUCAUUUCUGUUUAUCCACCAAAUCACGAUGCCAGGAACCCUCCCCACCACAGCCGCACCUCCCACCCACCCACUUCACAUCCAAAUGCUCUACAGCUGCCAUCCAGCUGUGUCCUGGGGCGGCCCGUACCCUAUGGGGAGAGAGGGAGAGAUCGUCAGCUUUUCCAAACCAGGUUGGCUUUGUUGGGUUCGACCCCUGGUGGUGGUCUAAACCACUCCACUGGAUAUUUUCAACAGUCUCAGAGACGAUACGGUAAAACUGUAGAUUUGAAGAAAAGCUACUCAUAAUUGAUCAGGACGGUUCACCCAAAAAUGUAAAUUAUGUCAUUAAUUACGCAUCCUCUUGUCGUUUCAAGCCUGUAAGACUUUUGUUCAUCUUCCGAACAAAAAUUAAGAUAUUUUUAAUCAAAUCUAAGAGCUUUCCCUGCAACGAUAGCAUCCCAGAAAGGUAGUAAGGACAUCGGUUAAAUAGUCCAUGUGACCUCAGUGGUUCAACCAUAAUUUUAUAAAGCUACAAGAAAACAUCUUGUCUGGGAGAAAGAACGAUUUCAUUCAAUGAUUUCUUCUCUUCUAUUUCAAUCCUCUACGCACAUUCACGACAGUACUAUGACGCAUGCGUGUGCAUUUUUCUGCAUGUACACAAGGUGCACCGCAAACGUGUUCUAUGUCAGCAGCAUCACACGAACGAGUCACAGAUGGCAGCGGUGACUGACUGGAAGAGAGAUAUCAUUGAAUAAAGUUGCUAUUUUUCUAUUCUUUGAACACAAAAAGUAGUGUUGUCAAAAGUACCGACUGCGAUACCAUUCGGUACUGAAAUUUUUAAAACAUCCAUUUCCCACUUUGAGCGAUGUUGAGCAGAUUCUUAAACAGCGAUAAUUGUUUUCAUGUGCUCAACAGAUACAUCUGUGUUUGGCUUCAAUGCUUACUGCAUCAUGCUCUUCACCGAGUGCUGCUCACACGACUGCGAUGCCAUUCGGUGCUGAAAUGUUAAAAAUGGAUUCGUCACCGUCAGCAGAUCCCGAAUAUAUCUGCACAUAAACGGGGAUCCGCUGAUAGACAUGGCUUUCAAACACUCUCUUGUGUUGCUGUGCGAGCACACCAAUCAUCGCUGUUUAAGAAUCAGCUCAGCAGCACUCAAAUCUAAGUGGAAAAUUUAUGUUUUUAAAAUUGCAGUACCGGAUGGUAUCGCGGUCGGUACUUUUGCCAAAAAGUUUUUCACAGCUUCGGAAAAUGAAAGUUGACCACUAACAUCAAAUGGACCAAUGUUUUUUUUUUUUUUUUUUGCCUUUAUUGCAACAGGAAGCAAAGUGGGAUAAAAUGGAAUCAGGAAAGGUCCUAAAGUCAAGAUUUGGAGAUUUGUCCGUGCACUGCCCACAAGGCUAUGUCAGCUUACAUGUAUACUAUUUUAACUUUUAUUUUUUAUUUUUUUUGAAUGAGUAAUUAUGAUUUUUGUUCAGAUGGAACUAUAUCUUUUAAGCUGUUAAAGUUUAAAUAUUAAAAUUUUAUGUUAAGUAAACUUUAUACUUGUUUCACCAAUUGCAGAUGCUAUAUGAGUGUUCAGGAAACAUGUUUGGAAACGGUCAUUAUUUAGCCAUUCAGUUGACUAGUACUAGAGACGAAGAAAUUACAUUUCAGAUAAACAAGAGUGAAGAAAACACCUGGAAAAUUAGUUAUGAGGAAUUAAAUUGAGGAUAAUUUAUUUUAGAAAAUUAUGAGGUUAUAUUAUUUAUAAAAACAUAAUGUACACAAAAAUAAUUUAUAAAAAUAAAAUAUUGUAAUUUUAAUUUUAAUAGUGAAAUAAAAUUAAAAUACAUUUAUUUCAAGUUUG
This is a long non-coding RNA of Carassius auratus (goldfish), 2295 nucleotides long. NCBI's taxonomy places the organism in Eukaryota, Metazoa, Chordata, Actinopteri, Cypriniformes, Cyprinidae. The record is from Ensembl.